CAAUUUUCGAAGGCAGCUUUAACACUUAAUAAUUCUUUUUCACCAAUAGGAUAAUUUUUUUCAGCAGAGCUCAAGGAUCUUGAGAAGAAGGCAACUGGAUGAAGUGGAUCUUGAGGAGUCUUUUGUUGAGAAGGAACUGCUCCGAUAGCUGUAUCUGAUGCAUCGACUUCAAGGACAUAUAAGAAUGUUGGAUUAGGUAGUUGUAGAAUAGGUGCAGUUGUAAAUCUUUUUUUUUAAUCUGUCAAAGGCAGCUUGUGCAUCUUUACACUACUUGAAAGGACGUUUUGUACUGUUAAGAAGGUUAAGUGGAUGAG
This is a non-coding RNA of Pelobates cultripes (western spadefoot toad), 314 nucleotides long. The record is from the annotation of a GenBank genome assembly. NCBI's taxonomy places the organism in Eukaryota, Metazoa, Chordata, Amphibia, Anura, Pelobatidae.